RNAcentral lists this long non-coding RNA (1506 nucleotides) under Bos indicus x Bos taurus (hybrid cattle). Its description in RNAcentral is "lncRNA (ENSBIXG00005024620.1)". The record is from RNAcentral. Lineage: Eukaryota; Metazoa; Chordata; Mammalia; Artiodactyla; Bovidae.
CGUCCCUCUUCUGCUCCCUCCCACACAGAAUGAAGUCCCUGCACCCUCCUGAGUUACCAGGCGGGAGUGGCAGACCCACGGGGCUUACUUCCGAGAGGCUGGGUGCUUCGCUGCUGCAAGUGCAUCUUGGCUUGGAAGCUUUGUGGGAAAUCUUUAAAGCACCACUGGCCAGUGUCUGCCCGGUGGGUGGUGAGUGGCCCAGGAUUACUGCUGGAACCGGACUGAAUGUCUUGGAAGUGACUUCCGCAUCCAACGAUGCCUGUGAGACGGCCCAGAGUCUCUGCAGGCGAUCUGAUCUUGGGGCUGAAAGUGUCACUGGCUCCGUGUAUUUAUUAUGUUUUAAUAACACAAGGAAAAGUGUCCCCGGCAGUGAGCUGAGUCAUAAGAAGGCGUGUGUGGUGCACCGGCUUCCAGAAAAUCCACACCUGGACUGGUCCCAGCACACAGACGGCACCGCCGCUUCUGAAAACACCAGGGUCAGAAAGAAACAUCUCCUCUUUCCGUAGAAAGGGGCUUCACACAGAGGGCCUUCCCUGGUGGCUCAGUGGUAAAGAAUCCACCUGCCAACGCAGGAGACGAGGGUUUGAUCCUUGGGUCAGAAAGAUCCCCUGGAGGAGGGCAUGGCAACCCACUCCAGUAUUUGUGCUCAGAGAAUCCCGUGGACAGAGGAGCCUGGUGGGCUGCAGGACAUGGGGUCGCAGAGUCGGGCAUGACUGAGCGACUGAACAACCUCGCAGAGGGGCCUUCCGAGGUCUGUAACCAACGCCGUCUGUGAGCCAGGUGCUGGGGUCUUCAUGGAACUCCUCUCCGGCCCUGAUUUAGCUCAGGUUUACUGCUGAAGAGACUGCGGGGCAGAGUGUGGAUUUAGGGUGCCUGACUCCACACCCUGGGGCCCCCUCAUGUACUCCUGCUCCUCUGGGUGUCAGAGAUCGGGGCAGGGGUGGGUGGACAGGCCCCGGGUGGCAGAGGCCCCACGGCAAGAGGGGAGCAGCAGCCAGCCCCGAGAUCUCAAAGAAAGACAGAGCGAGAGAGACGCUCCCAGCAGAUGUUGGUGUUCCUGGACACACAGAUGCUCUUCUCAGCUCCCAUGUCAAAACAAACUUGGAGCUUUUUCAAUAGGAAACUGGAAAUCCCAAGUCACCAGUGACAGAGGGGUGGGAGGUCUCGAGAGUCUCCGUGCCUUCUGCCCUCUGUCCCCUGAACCCUGACGGCCUGACUCAGGCUCAGCCUCCAUCCUGGCUCCGCAGCCCCCACUGGCAUCAUCGAAACUCUUGCUGCAAGGCUGCUGAAACCGUGUCACCUGGCUAAACGGCAGGAGGGUGGCGGUUUACCGGCAGCUGGCAGAGAGGGCAGGGGCGCGGCUGGCUCCGGAAACCCUUGCACUGCUGCCCGAACACGCCUGGCCGCUGUCCCUGGGGCCAGCCGCCUCCUCUCCCGGCCCUCCACAGUCACACGGGGCGUCCCGCCUGGAGGAGCCGGACCUGGAAGGGGCACCCAGCAGGCCAC